GGUGGCUCAGUGGUAGAGUGCUUGUCUAGCACGCAUGAAGCCCUGGGUUCGAGUCCUAUCC
RNAcentral lists this transfer RNA (61 nucleotides) under Dipodomys ordii (Ord's kangaroo rat). It matches the Rfam family "tRNA", at positions 6 to 65 of the family's 71-position model. From Rfam's summary of the family: Transfer RNA (tRNA) molecules are approximately 80 nucleotides in length. Lineage: Eukaryota; Metazoa; Chordata; Mammalia; Rodentia; Heteromyidae. The record is from Rfam by way of RNAcentral.